AUGCCCGCCUUCAUGGGCUAUUUCUAUAGUUGAGUCUAGAGAAAUUUCUCUAAAACAUAUAAGAAAAUUACAAAGGAAGAGGUGCAACUUUCUCCUGAGCAUGAAACCAACUCUUGAUGUUGCCUUGCUGUAACUGUUGUUUGUCAUUGAUGAUCAUUCUUUUCUUUGGGGAUCUACUAGCUCUGA
Molecule: small nucleolar RNA, 186 nt
Filed under: Ictidomys tridecemlineatus (thirteen-lined ground squirrel)
Lineage: Eukaryota; Metazoa; Chordata; Mammalia; Rodentia; Sciuridae
Description: Spermophilus tridecemlineatus (thirteen-lined ground squirrel) Small nucleolar RNA U3
Rfam family: Small nucleolar RNA U3
About the family: Small nucleolar RNAs (snoRNAs) are involved in the processing and modification of rRNA in the nucleolus. There are two main classes of snoRNAs: the box C/D class, and the box H/ACA class. U3 snoRNA is a member of the box C/D class.
Source: Rfam by way of RNAcentral